Molecule: microRNA, 24 nt
Filed under: Gadus morhua (Atlantic cod)
Lineage: Eukaryota; Metazoa; Chordata; Actinopteri; Gadiformes; Gadidae
Description: gmo-miR-11199-5p
Source: miRBase by way of RNAcentral
AGUGACUUAAUACAAUACACAGGG